RNAcentral lists this ribosomal RNA (429 nucleotides) under Bacteroidota bacterium. RNAcentral's name for it is "Bacteroidetes bacterium partial 16S ribosomal RNA". It matches the Rfam family "Bacterial small subunit ribosomal RNA", at positions 355 to 776 of the family's 1533-position model. Lineage: Bacteria; Pseudomonadati; Bacteroidota. The record is from RNAcentral.
UAGGGAAUCUUCCGCAAUGGACGCAAGUCUGACGGAGCAACGCCGCGUGAGUGAAGAAGGAUUUCGGUUCGUAAAACUCUGUUGUUAGAGAAGAACAGCGCAUAGAGUAACUGUUAUGCGUGUGACGGUAUCUAACCAGAAAGCCACGGCUAACUACGUGCCAGCAGCCGCGGUAAUACGUAGGUGGCAAGCGUUGUCCGGAUUUAUUGGGCGUAAAGCGAGCGCAGGCGGUCAAUUAAGUCUGAUGUGAAAGCCCCCGGCUCAACCGGGGGGGGUCAUUGGAAACUGGUUGACUUGAGUGCAGAAGAGGGGAGUGGAAUUCCAUGUGUAGCGGUGAAAUGCGUAGAUAUAUGGAGGAACACCAGUGGCGAAGGCGACUCUCUGGUCUGUAACUGACGCUGAAGUUCGAAAGCGUGGGUAGCAAACAGG